Molecule: long non-coding RNA, 10641 nt
Organism: Pseudopipra pipra
Lineage: Eukaryota; Metazoa; Chordata; Aves; Passeriformes; Pipridae
Exons: 2
Source: RefSeq, a predicted model, not a curated record
GAUGGUGAAAUUAGCAAAAAUAAAAGGAACUCCCUGACUUGAAUUCACAAACUGUGCUUGUUUUUGUUAAACAGAACAAAAUCUGCAGUGACGGUAGCAAGUUCAAUAACGUGUAGCGCAUACGUUUUUCUCUCAGCUAGAAAGCACCUUCCUUAAGAAACGCUUUUAAAAUGUUUGAUGUAAACUACUGAAGAUACUCAUAUUAAAUAGUACUCUCCAAGCUGUGUGCAUCCUGGCUGGGUUUUUAACCAACCCCCUAACAGAAAGCUAUGAAUGGAAUGUGUAUCUCCUGGCCAGACCUAUGGAUAGGCUGGAGGACAUUAUUUAUAGUAGGAUGGGAAAGGCAAGAGGCACUGGACAAUCAUGGCAAAAAGGUAAACUCAAUGGUAGAAAGGAAGAUUCAUCACUCUUGCACAGAAGAAUGGACCUGGACUUCAUAUAACAGAUUCCAGUGGUUUACAUACAUAUGGGGGGCAUCCCUGUUCAAUAAUUUCAGCAUUACAUCCAUUCUUGUCUCCAUAAUGCAACAUCUGGAUUGAAUCUAGCAAACUCUUGAGGUGAAUGAAUGCUUCUGCCUGCAUGCUAUAAUUUUAGACCAUCAAGGAGUAAAAUAUUUGAUACAUGUGUUGCAUGGCUGAGUUUAAUGUAAAUUUUCAGGACACAUAGAAUCCCCUGCAAUUUGCUGUUUAAAAUCCCACAAUUUGCUAAUUUUCUUGUCAUGAUUGUUUUUAUUAUUACAUAUGACAUUUUAAUGAAUUAUUCACUUUUUAUAGUUGUGGUACUUUAUUAAAAAAUUUCAAAUUUUUGGAAUCAUGGUAGUACUUCAAAAAGCAGAUGAACUGUAUGAGCAAAUCUACUUUUACCCAACGUGGCUAUCUCAGGAUGCUAAGGGGUAAGAUUACCAUCUCAAAAGCAGUUAACUCACCAGAAGAGAUUACUGCUGCCAAAAGAAAAAAUUUAUUUUCCUUUCAUCUUAUACUUUUCUUCCUCUUUCUGCCACUUUUAGUGGUCGUGAGCAGUUAAAUAUCAUGUCUCAUAGGAAUUGAGCCUGAGAACCUGAAUAUACCUCUGAAGGUGGCUCUUUGAGAGUGCUCCUGAAAGUGUUCUCUGAUGGAAAUCUCAGACAGCAGAUUUCUCACAGGGAAGUGUCUCUCCCCAUGUCCCCGAAUGCCGUAUUUUCAAGAAGAACAUAAAAUCAGCUGGAUAAGUGAAAGAGAGCAGUGCACCUCAUGUAUCCCUAGUGUAAGCAGACAAAAUAUGCUUUCUUUCUUCCAUUUCAGCAUCUCUAUCUGCUAUAAACAUUUGCAACCAUGUCGUCUGCUUUGGCUGUCAUGAGUAAAUCCUUGUAUUUUCGCUUAACCACAACAAAUUGUGAAUUAAGUUAUUCUACUCACAGGAAAAUGGCAAAUGUUUAAACUGGGGGGUUGGGCUACAUUAAUUUCUCAGCCCUCCUUUUCAACUGCACAGGCCAAGUUAAGAUCUAGCCCCAGUGAUGCCAUGAGGGACAGAACUUGCCACAAGAACACGAACUCUCCGGUCUGCAGGAAGAAAUUGGUAAGCACACUUAAGUCUUGAACAUCAUGAGAAACAUAUCGCAGUGUGAAGUUACAGUAUGCUCAUGAUCAAAAUGGAAGAAAAGUAAGCUGUCUCCAGUUAAAUUGCUUUUCUUUUAAAAAAAUCUCCUCACUAGCAAAAAUAAUUAGAAUAAUCCAAACUGUAUUUAGAUUAAAUCUGAAGUUGGUUAUUAUGACAAAAAAAUGAAUGAUUCUUAAGAACAUAGAAUUGCUGAAAUGGAUGAAGAAACUCUAACUGUUAUAUGUUCUGCAUAAGGCAGAAAAAUCAUAAAUAAAAAUUCAAAUUAGCUAUUUCCAUUCUUCAGGAUUGAAACAAAGAGCCUAUGUGACUGAACUUGGUGUUUCACUGCAGUGUGACUUUACAUGAGUUUUUCCUCUUUGCUUUCUGGUACUUGAUUGUUUCCUUGGUAGUGUUUUAGUAACUCACUGUUAUCUUGACUGAUAAUUAAAGUACCAGAAAAUAAAAACACUUUUUAUUUCAUUCUUUUUCUCUUAUUUUGUAUCAUAAUCUUACCUUGAAGCUUUUUGUUUGUUUGUUUGUUUGUUUUCAUAAAGUACUUUACGAGAACAAAAUAUAAUUACGGGUACAUUCAUAUACCCUAAAAGCUUCCUGUACAACAUAGCACUGAUAUUCUCUUUGCAUUUUAAAUUGUUUGAAAAUGUCUCUACAGUUACCUUGUAACACUUCAUAUCAUAUGUGUUAUUUUUUAUUAGUCUAACUGUUCUGUCAUAUGAACUAAGACAAGCAGAUACUGUCAGAUCCCAGACUAGUGAAAAUAACUUCAGUGAUUUUGAGCUGAGUGGUUUUUUAUGAGAACUUUUUCCAAGCAAAAUUUGUGCUGAUAUAUCUAUAAGAAUUUAAAAAUUAUAAAUCUGAUUCAGAAAACAAGCCUACAACAUUCAAAUGUGCACAAAAGAUGUUUGCCUUAUCUUAUUUGCAUAUAUCUCAUAAAUAUGCUUAGAAAAUAUUACUUAUUUACAUUCAUCUUGUUACUUAUGUAUAAAGGGUGCAGUCUCCAAAAAGGACAUGUUUCUCUAGUAUAACAGGAUGUAUUUGUUUAUUUCUGCACAGUGUUUGUGCCACUGCAGUUAAAUUUGCAGCCCACGUUUCGAGGAUAUACCACUCAAUUUGAAGUUAUGAUGUUGAUUUUCCUAUCCAUGUUUUUCCCCUUGAAGCAAGAUGAAAAAUGUUCCAGCAAAGGCAUAAGAAAGCUAUUUUAAGAUCUUUGAAGAAAAAUUAAUAUGUUGCGAUGAUGAUAUUUCAUCUUAAUCUGACAUCGCCCAGACUUGUCUCUUUCAAGAAAGGGAGGACAUCUGGAAAUGAGUGAAAGCCACAAUAAAAUAAGAUUUUUUUUUACUGAAACUGAAAUAUGAUGGCAUAGUUUUUUCUUGACAGUUAUGAGUAGGAAUAAGUGGUAUGAUAAAGGUGCAUGAUUUAUUGUUAUAUGUAAUUACACGAGCUGCACAAUAUUGAAAAUUUACAGAAAACUGAACUGAUAUUUUGGAAACGAAAAUAUGAAAUAGAAAAUAGCUGUAGUUAUGGUUAUUCAUAGCCUAAAAGUAAAAAAAAAAAAGCCUCCAAGUAGCUAGAGAGAAAUUCAGUGAACAGGGAUAACACUGUAAAUGAAGAAGUUUUCUUUGAUGUACUUCUGUUUCUCAUACCUAAUGCAUGGAAUAAAUGAAGGCAAGAAAUGACUUUGUUUUUACUUUUGAGUUUCAUAAUCUCUGUUCCCCCAUGCAAAACAUGAGUCUGAUCUCAUUUCCACUAACUUGGGCAACGCAAUUAGUAUAAAUAAAUAAAUAUAUACACAUAUCCAAAGUGUCAUGUGAAACACCUUUAUAAGUCUGGAUACCAACAUUCAGAAAAGGUAAAUUCAAACUGAAAAGGAGCAAGGAGAGGUUAGCAGGGUGAACAGGUGAUUGGUGAGAUGAUUUUGUCGAAAGGGUGCUGAAAGACCUUGCUGGUUUUGAAAGUUGAAAGUUAAAAUGAGGACAAUUCUUAUACAUAAAUUCUUCAGCCAGGUAUCAGGAGAAAGGAUAAACUAUUUAAGCUAUGUUCACAAAAGAGCAGAUGUAAACUAGACCUGAGUAAAUUCAGGCUAGAAAUGAAAAUACUAUUUUUAAACCUUACUGUGUUGAGUUUGUGUGGCCAGGUAUGGUUAGUGGUGGGCUACAGGAGUGGCUUCCUGUUUGGUGCAGCCAAUGCCAGCCAGCUCCAGGAUGGAUUCGCCACUGGCCAAGGCUGAGCCAAUCAGAAAUGGUGGUAAUGCCUCUGGGAUAACAUAUUUAAAAAAUAAAAAAUCCCAAAACAUUAUUGUGCAGAUGCAAUUGCACCCAGAGAAGAGUGGAGAGAGAACAUGUGAGAGGAACAACUAUGCAAACACAAGGUCGGUGAAGGAGGGGGAGGAGGUGCUCCAGAUGUUGGAGCUGAGAUUCCCUUGCAGCCCGUGGUGCAAACCAUGAUGGAGCAGCUGUGCCCCUGGAGAACAUGGAGGACCACUGGGAUGCAGAGAUUCACUGGGAUGCAGAGAUCCACCUGCAGCCUGAGGAGGGGACCAACACUGAGCAUGUGAAUGCCUGAAAGAUGGCUGUGAACCUGUGGGAAACUUGUGUUGGAAAGGGUUCCUGGCAGGGACCUGUUGACCCAAGGAGGGAGGAGCCCACACUGGAGUAGGUUUCCUGGUAGGACUUAUGACCCUGUAGGGGACCCAUGCUGGAGCAGCCUGUGCCUGAAGGACUGCACCCCAUGGAAGAGUGAUCCACGUUGCAGCAGUUCAUGGAUAACUGUUGCCUGUAGGAUGGACCCAUAUUGGAGAAGUUUUGUAAAGGACUGACUCCCAUAGGAGGGACACCACAAUGGAACAGAGGAAAGACUCUUCUCCCUGAGCAGUGGCAGAAAUAACCUGUGAUGAACUGACCAUAAGCCCUUUCCCUGUCUCCCUGCAACUCUGGGUGGGAAGAGGUAGAGCUUGGGAAAAAGGGAGGAGGAAAAAGGAGGAAAAAGGUGUUUUUUAGAAUUUUUUUUAUUUCUCAUUAUCCAGCUCUGAUUUUAUUAGUAAUAAAAUUCAGUUAAUAUCUCCAAUUUGAAUGUGGUUUGCACAUCACGAUAUUUGGUGAAUGAUCUCUCCUGGUCCUUAUCUCAACUCAUGGACUUUUGUUAUAUUUUCUCUCCCCUGUCCAGCAGAGAAGGGGAGUGAUAGAGCUACUUUGGUGGGUGCCUGGCAUCCAGUCACGCUGCCCUGACUGAAUUGACAUUCUGGAUAUCCCAGGAUGUCAUGGCUGAUUAAUGUGAAAUAUAGGAAUUAAUAAUUUAAAAUAGCAUAUGAAAUGCUUCUAGUGUGAAGCACCAGUCUUUUCUACAACGGUGGAAGACACUCUUUCAGGAGCAGUGUUAUUUAACAUGGCUCUCAAUCACCUAUCCAGAGCUAUGAAUGUCAAAUUGAAACAUUCCUCUGCAGCUUUUACAAUCUUUCUUUAUUCCAAAUUUUUUUUUAUUCUUUCCUAUAUCUUCCAAAAGCAGGUUCCUAUUUUCCUUAAGUGCCAACUGUUAGAAUAUAACACUUUUUUGGCAAUCAUACAGAUAAGAUCUGCUGUCUGCAUAAAAUAUUAACUAAUAAUAAAUUAGCAUCAGAUAAAAUAUUCUGCUACUUAAUAUUGGAAAAGUGACAUCCCAAUCAAUAUAAACAACUGAGCUACAUUUCAAGCUGCAUUUACUCAUGUAUAGUAUUAGUCAUCUCUGCCUGUUACCGAAGAAUUAGUUAUCACAAAGGUAUAUUCUAGAACACUUUGUCCCUUCCCCUCCUCCCCCUUAGGUCUCUUCUUAAAAAAAAUUUGCAAAUUCUUCAGAAAAAAAAAUGUAGGAGCCUCAAUCUCACUUUUAUGCUGGAAAAAAUGUUGGAAAAUAAGGAAGCCUUGGCUUGAGUGACGCCAUCUAAAAAUUAUGUCAAUGAAGAGACUAGAGUGAAGAACUGGUGUUAGGGGUGCUUGUUGUUGAAAUGCUUUGCAAAGUAUCUGAUCUCAACAUACCUGUCUCAUUAACUACUGAUCCUCGGAUGACAGAGAUAAAUGAAACCAUGCAGAGGUUAACAGGCCCAGUUUCUCGCUGUACCUAUGAACACCUUGUUUAACUGAAUCUCUGAGACAGUUAAUACCAUCCCUACUUAUUUUAAUCUGCACUACUUUUAAAAAUAACUAUAUGUGAUUCAUUAUUGCUAUACCUAUUUUUUAUUCAACAUUUAACAGAAAUGUCCUGCCUUUAAUAUAAAUUGUAUUAUCUUGAUAAUAUCUCUAGCACAUCCAAAAUUAAAACAACCUGCAUCUAUGGUAUUUGCAUUAUUAUCUUUACCUCUACACCUUUAACUGUAUGCUAUGCAACCAGAACUCUAUCAACAACUUCUCUCUUCAUAUCAAACAUCAAGCAUAAGUCAAGCACAUGGUCAUUGAAGCAGAAUGUCUGUUAAAUCCAGUCAGACAGAGAGAAAAUAAAUUUUCACCCUAACCAAGUUUUUAAAGCGAAAAUCAUGCAAUUUUCAAAACCAGAAUCAAACCCAAGAUAUUUGUCUCUGAUCAGGAAACACACAAUUAAAUUAUUUUGUUUUGAAAUUAUUUAACUCGUUGUAACUAUUUGUUCAAAUCGGGUUUUGCAUUAGUUUAAUUUUACUACUAACACACUGUCUUAUGGAAACUAUUUUAUGUUCAUGUCUUUCAGAAUGGAUAACUGCCUCAAAAUCUUAGUGAUCCACUAUAAGUAUAUGCUCAAAUACAGGACUCUGGCUGCAGGAGAGAAUUGUGACAUUAUAUGGAAAAAAAAUCUUUUUAAAACAAGAGAAAAUUCAGGUGGAAUAUUUCUGAUUAUCUAAGGCUGGGUAUGCAUAAAUAAUCCAUUCAACACAAAAUUUCAAAGUGAAACCUACUGAAAUGUUGAUAUUCCAGCUUUUUUGUCCUAAUACUGAAUUUAUUACAUUUCCAUUACUUUAAGAAUUCAAGAGCAUGUUCUACAGUCCACAUAUCUGUGAAUGCAGGAUUUGGGGUAUAUAUUUCUAAAUAUUUAUGCAGGCUUUUUAUGGCUAUUCCUGGGCAGGCCUCUUCAUAUUUUGAUUCUUUCUCACAGACUUCUAUCAGAAUUUUAAUAAUUCUUUACUAUCUGUGCUAGUGCAUUAUUAUACUCAGAUAAAUGCAAGGCUUCAACCUAGCUCUACUUCCCCUCUGUAUAUUCUACUCAUAGAUCUACCUACUUUUGUGCACUACUAGCUUUGCAAAUUCUCCCAAGUGCCUCAUAAGGCUCCUGAAUACCAGUCAAGGUUAAUUCUUCUCCCAUGUCUUCAUUCCGUUUCCACUGUUGUCUCUGUCAGAGAGCAUAUACAUGAACAGGAGCACCAGAGUCAUAUUAAAAAUUACAUGCAAAAGACCCUGUCACCUUUCUUGUGAAUGAUGCAAUAAUCUCAGUGUUGGGAAGAUUUCCCUUAACAGUCUACAUUGUUUGUUGUUUUAUUUGAUAGCCUUUUGACCUCCAUAUAAAGUGUUUCUGUCUCUGAAUAACUAUAACCAGUUACUAACUCCUUGAUAUUUGAUCUAGUUCAAGUGACGAGUUUUUUCUUGCCAAAAAUGCAAUCAAUGUUAUGGAAGGUGGUGAAAAGUGAAAAAAAAUUGUUCCCCACUGAAAAAGGCAAGUUAUUUUAAAUUGCAAGGAAAACAUAAUUAUAGAUAAUUACCACAGAUUACAUUUUCUACAUACAUGCACUAAUUAAAUCACCUAUUAGGUGAUUAUAUUUUAAUAGAUUUUUUACUUUCUAUUUUGCAUUACAUAUGAUAAAUCAAAUACACAACAAAUGAGAAAUGACAGCAGCUAUCAAAAUUACCCUCAGAAUCAUUUUAUUCUGGAUAAACAUAAGAAAAUUUCCAGACUAUUGAAAGAGAAAAGGAACAGUGUUUAUCUAUCUCCAGUCAACCGUGAAGCUAAUUUAAUAAACACAGAAGUUUUAGUUCUAAACAUAUUUUGUUAUUCACUACUAAGUCCUUGUGGCCAACAGAAAACAGUUCAUAUUGUCCCCAUGUCAGCCUAGGUAAGGUCUUAAUUAUUGUACAAAACAUGUAUGAAAGGGUAAAAAACAGAGAAGAAAACAAUACAGUUUUUGCCUAUCAUAUAUGGGAUUGUUAUUAUUUAUUUAAAAGAUGCAAAAGCCAUAGAAACUGUGUUUAGAGAGUAUUCCAUAGCAGACUAAAUUAGCAAACCUACAGGGAACAUGGCAUGGUACUUUUUACAGAAUUUCAUGGUUUGUACCAGGGAUGGAAGAAAGAUAAUGCCUCAUACAAUCACCUCUCAAUUUUUACUAAAUUCACUGGCAUAAACUGUGGCUAAACUGAAAUAUUCUAAGCUGUCAGAAGCCUCCUGAGAUACACUUUCUCCUUAUAUACUAACAUCCCAUCAAGGUUCACAUUUUUACUUAUCUCCUUUGACUUGCUUGGUGGUCAGCUUGGUAGUUUAAAACAGUGGUACUUCUGUAGGCAAAUUGGGAAAGAAAAAUAACUAAUUCUAUUCAUCUAGCAACACUUUUUUCUUAAAAUAACACUUCUGAAAACAAAAAGAAAUAAGCAACCCACUCAUCUUCCCUUCAUCCAUGACCCUUCAAAACUUCCCUAAUAUUAAAGCUUUUUUUGAUUGAAUCUGCAAAAGCGCCAGAGUCCCUCUGGUACUUUGUACCUUAAGUUCCCUUCUACGUGCUUAUUGCAAUAGCAUCUUUCAGGCUUGAGUGGGUUUUGGAUUAAAUCCCUAAUUUCUCAUUUCCAAAAGUAACAGUAAUGAUUUCUCCUAUCUGGCUAAUGAUAAUUUAGCACUGUCACCAUGUGAGAUAUUGUAUCCUUGUUGUCCUGUUUCUGCCAAAAAUUUUAUCAUAAUAAAUGCAAUAGAAUAAGAGGCUUCUUUUUAUGUUGGCGUACCUAACAGCUGUCUAUUUUGAUCAUGGAAUUAAUUCUUCAAAACCUCCAACUUUUUCACAAACAGCAAUCUAGUUUUAAUUAAAAUGUUUGCAGAGAAAUUUGCUGUAAUAACUGACAGUCCUGCUAAAUCCCUCAUUUUGAAUUUUUUGGUCAUGAAUUCUCUGGAAUUCCCAGGUCUAGGUCUUGAGUUACUUUGGAGGUACACAUAGUGUAGCUUAGUAAAACCAGGAACAUGCACCUGAAGGUGAACACUGAAAGUUUUGCAGUUAAAUUGCAAAUUUGUUUCAUUUGGUAUUUCUCCUAGGAAAUUGUUUCCUGCCUGCAUAGUACUGAGCCUGAAAAUUUGGAUCCAAACACCCAUCUGUUCUGUGGUAUACAUUCUAGUGCUCAAAAAGGAAUAUUUAACAAGUUAUCCUUAGUGUAGAAGGAGUAAGGACAGGCAAGCCUGUGUCAGCUUUUACUAACAACUCUUCUCAUUUGUUCUAACACCUCCAAUUUAGCUGGAUUAGAUCAUGGUGGCUCUGUUUCAUACCUUACUGACUGGUAGACAAAAGGUACUGUGGCCUCCACUUAGUGGUGCUUCUGGCACAAGUCUGGCGCUGAGGCCACACGAUCACUUUGUCUAGAAGCGGUGAGGCAAAAGGAUGGCAGCAAAGAUAUUCUACCUGCAUUAGUGGUGUUGAAGCCAAGAAAAGAGCAUUUACAGCAAACAGCAGCUUUGCCUGGUUUUUGGUAUACCCUGCUAGUCACUGCUGGUAAUAGCAUUCUGAAUGUCUACUAGUCUAUAACUUCUUCCAGUCCUAAUAACAUCUCUGUCAUUUCUUCCUCCAGAGCAUUUUAAACCCAGUAUCACCUGUCACCUUGCAUUUCCACUCAACAUAUUCUUAUUUCAUCCCCAGCAUAGACUAAAAAUCUCAGUAUGACUUUAAACUUUAUUUUACAUAGAGCUAUGACUACUUCAGUGUGAACCCAGUCCCAGAAUACCAUUAUUCAAUAUCAUCACAAUUUGUUUCUCCAGAUUCCUUCCAUAAGGACUACAUGGGGGGGAAAAAAACACCUCUUACUAGCGAGCAUAAUUAAUUUUGUGUUUGUUUUUAAAAAAAUCAGCUAAUUAGUGGUGUGACACAGUUAAUUUGUGACUUUAAAAAUAUUUAUGAUUCUUUAUGAUUUGAUUCUAUGCUUUGGAGGAAAAUAACUUCACAGUGUUUAGAGUGUAGAGAAUUGCCAAUUUUCUUAAAAAUAUUUGGACUGCUGGACUAAACCUGCCUUAAUAACUGGCAGACUAUAACCCAGAUCAGUUUUAUGCAUAGGAAGAGUCAGACAACAGAGUUAUUCCAGUGGCACCUUCUUCUCUGAAUAUGCUUGGUAAGUUAGAAAAAUCCUAAAAGACACGUUAUAAUGUUUUUCAAUCUCCUUACAGCACUGCAACAGCCAGGGAUGGAGUAGAACUAAAUUUGUGCUUUGAAAAUGAAACUCUUCAGCAAAGUAAUCAAAGUUCAGGUGCUUUAAAAAUUAUUUCUAAUAUUAGAUAAUAUUUAUCACAAAAAUAAUCCUCCUAUGUCUCCUAUAUACCCAAAUCAUAACAACAUUAAAAAAUACAUUAAAAAAUAGACAGGCCCAACAAUUUCUUUCUACAGACACGUUAUAAGGACUUAAUCCAGCAUGGAUGGCAAUAUAAAGCAACUUUAAUUUAUGUGCUUGUGAAGAUGCUCCUCAGUAAGAUGAAUACCACUUUCAAGAAAAUAAAAUGAAAAACCAAAAUCCAAACUAGAAAACCCUACUGUCAUUAUAGUACCUGCAGAGUGAUACCACUAACAGACCUGGCUGUUUGUUUCUAAGGAAGAACAGCUGUGCAACAGACUGUCUGAACAGUUCCUAUUACAGAAUGCAGCAUGGAUCACUGACACAAAGGAAGCACUACACCAGCUGGCUUUCUGUCUUAGAGCAUUUCUAUUCCUAGAUGAUUUACCUGUUCUCAGUCCUGUCACCUUAACACUUCUACUACCCAAUUAAAAAACAAUGUUGCUGGAUUCUUUCUGCUGUAAAUUAGAUAUGUUUUUUUUUUUCAGAUCAAACUGGUUUACUUUUUUUUAAAGUGUGCAAUACAUGACUUAUUUUUAAACUUAUAAAA